GGGGUUGUAGCUUAGUUGGUAGAGCGCGUCGUUCGCAAUGACGAGGUCGUCGGUUCGAAUCCGAUCAACUCCACCA
Molecule: transfer RNA, 76 nt
Filed under: Puniceicoccales bacterium
Lineage: Bacteria; Pseudomonadati; Verrucomicrobiota; Opitutia; Puniceicoccales
Description: tRNA-Ala
Rfam family: tRNA
About the family: Transfer RNA (tRNA) molecules are approximately 80 nucleotides in length.
Source: RNAcentral